Molecule: non-coding RNA, 1253 nt
Organism: Arachis ipaensis
Lineage: Eukaryota; Viridiplantae; Streptophyta; Magnoliopsida; Fabales; Fabaceae
Source: RefSeq, a predicted model, not a curated record
UGGACCCGAUUAUCCAUCGGUUCCAAAAUCAAUUUAAUUGGUUCGGUUCGGGUUCGGACGGGUAAUCGAGUACCCGCUACCCGUGCACACUCCUAACCGUAAUUUAAGUUUGCUCCAAAAAACUUCACGAUUCUUUUUGGUUCAGCUUCAAGCGUAAAACCCUAACCACGGAGUUUUCGAACGAAUUGGGAAUUUCAACUUGAUUUCAACCCCGGACAAAAUUACACUACACCAAUGACUGCGUCGAAGAAGAAUUACAAAGAGAAACCUAUACGUCGCAAGUCAUUUGUAGGCAAUUUCCCCUAAGGAGCUAACAAAUAUGGUCAGCGAAAAGUAAAGUUGAGCAAAAUAUGUCAACCAAAAUCUAAGUUGCAGACAAGCAGUGACGUUUGGUUGAAUUUGAAGAGGGUGAUUUCGUGUUGGUGAAGUUUCAACCUUAUAUACAGCAUUCAGUUGCUUUGAGGAAGCAUAAAAAAUUGGCGAUGCGCUAUUUCGGGCCAUUUAAGAUCUGUCGUAAGCUUAGUGCCAUGGCUUAUAAAUUGGCACUGCCUCCUGAAGCCAAGAUUCAUAAUGUGUUUCACAUAUCAGCUUUAAAGAAGUUUAGGGGUGAGAAGGUUGACCAUUAUCUCCCCCUUCCUCUAUGCACAACAGAGUUGGGUCCUUUAUUGGAACCGCAAGAGAUUCUGGGUACGAGAACAGUCAUCAAAGAUGGUAAAGAGAUUAUUCAAUUGCGGAUCAAAUGGGGUCAGGGGCCGAGUGCCAACACGUCGUGGGAGAGUGCUGAUGAUUUGCGCCAUACUUAUCCUGAUUUCAACCUUGAGGACAAGGUUGUUGUUGAUGAGCGGGGUAAUGUAACGAAUGGGAAGAAGGCAGAGCACGUUGAGGUUAACCAGGCUACCUAUACAUAAAAUAGUAAUAACAAUCAUGCCUUAGAGCCACAUAUGUUGGAGGAGGAAUUAGUUACAAGCCAAGGACAGAUGGCAAGCAUAGGGGUAAAUCAAGGCCCAAGAAGAAGUGCAAGAAUGAGAACUACUAAUAGGUGGUUAGAGAAAUACGUUCGUUAGCGUGAUGUGGUCCUUGGAUGAGGAGCGUGGAUUGUCUCUAAUGUCGUUCCUUCACAAUUUUUCUUCUCUUCUUUAUUAUACUGAUUCUGUUAUUGUACUGUGUACAUUGAAGCUUGAGUCCUCCAUAGUGUGUUAUACCUGCUACUGCUAUUCCCUUCAAUAAAAUUUAUAUUACACCCUUCCAUUUAA